Molecule: Y RNA, 99 nt
Filed under: Propithecus coquereli (Coquerel's sifaka)
Lineage: Eukaryota; Metazoa; Chordata; Mammalia; Primates; Indriidae
Description: Y RNA (ENSPCOG00000012114.1)
Rfam family: Y RNA
About the family: Y RNAs are components of the Ro ribonucleoprotein particle (Ro RNP), in association with Ro60 and La proteins. The Y RNAs and Ro60 and La proteins are well conserved, but the function of the Ro RNP is not known.
Source: Rfam by way of RNAcentral
GGUUGGUCCGAGUGCAGUGGUAUUUACAACUAAUUCACAACCAGUUAUAGAUGCCUUUGUUCCUUCUCCACUUCCACUGCUUCAUUUGACCAGCCUUUA